RNAcentral lists this long non-coding RNA (657 nucleotides) under Linum usitatissimum (flax). RNAcentral's name for it is "long non-coding RNA (LUSI_LNC007184)". Lineage: Eukaryota; Viridiplantae; Streptophyta; Magnoliopsida; Malpighiales; Linaceae. The record is from RNAcentral.
GUGCUGUAAUGAAACAGAUAGGUUCCAAAUAUCCCUUUGCUAGUUAGGUUCCAAAUAUCCCAGUGCUGUAAUGAAAGCUAGUUACUAAUUGUUUCCCUUUGCUAGUUAGGUUCCAAAUAUCCGUUCAACAGCAACAAUUGUGUUUUUAACUUGCACGGUUUUCUUGUCUUUGUUCAUCACUAUGAAAUGAUUUAUACCAAAAGGCUAGGGAAUUAUUGAAAAAUAGCAUUGUGAAAAGACGUUGGUUGGUUAGUUUAGAAACUGGGUGGAAGUUGUACUCAGGCUUUGUCCCACAAAGAGAAUAUUGGAUGAAAAUUUGACAGCAUUAGAUGGCAAGUACUGAGCCAUGUCCCACGAACAUAUUGAUAUACUAAUAUAUCAGGCGGGGAUAACACAUUUCGUCCAUGUUCAAAGAUAAAGAGAAGUAUAUGUACGUUGUCUUUAUUGUUGCUGCUGUAAUUCUCUAUUGUUUAGAUCCCUGAGGUUGCAUCAUGACCAAUAUGAAGAUAUUUUGUCAGGUGCAAAAGAACAAGAAUGGAUAUCAUUUCACUUGCAAACACAUUAUUUGUAUGAUGGGAAGAGUUGUUAGACAUGAAGAACAGCAGGAAGUAAGUGAUUCUUACUGGUAUAACUUGAGGAGGAGUUCCUUCAGUGCUG